This is a non-coding RNA of Maylandia zebra (zebra mbuna), 2900 nucleotides long. Lineage: Eukaryota; Metazoa; Chordata; Actinopteri; Cichliformes; Cichlidae. The record is from RefSeq and is a predicted model, not a curated record.
UCAAGUGUGUGCAAAAACAUGGAAAACUACCCAAAACCAGUCAUCUCAAAACCUUAGACCCCUAUCUGGACAAAGAAGGACUCCUUAGAGUAGGUGGUCGCAUCAGAGACUCAAACAUUAGCCAAGGUGAGAAAAACCCUCUCAUAGUUCCUGGCCACCACCAUGUUGCAGCGCUUCUCAUAAAGCACUACCACGAGCAGACCCAGCAUCAAGGUCGCCUUUUCACAGAAGGAGCCGUUCGCUCCGCAGGAUGGUGGAUAGUGGGCGGUAAAAGAAAAGUGAGCACAAUCAUCUAUCAUUGUGUUACCUGCAAAAGACUUCGUGCCCCUUUGAGCACACAGAAAAUGUCAAACCUCCCUCCAGACCGUCUCACAACGGAUCCCCCGUUCACGAAUGUGGGCUUAGAUGUGUUUGGUCCGUGGUUUGUGUCUUCACGACGUACAAGAGGAAGCGUCAACCAGAAUAAAAGGUGGGCUGUCAUAUUCACUUGUUUGAGUAUUAGAGCAGUUCACAUUGAAGUGGUAGAGUCACUUGAUACAUCUAGCUUCAUUAAUGCAUUCCGACGAUUUCUGGCCGUGAGGGGACCAGUGAAAACUGUUCGCUCUGAUCGAGGCACCAAUUUUGUAAGUGCAUGUAAAGAACUGAAAAUCCCUUCAAACUUGGACAACACAGCUGUGCACACCUUCUUAAAAGAACAUGGAUGUAAAUGGACUUUUAACCCACCUCAUGCCUCCCAUUUCAGCGGAGCAUGGGAGAGAAUGAUAGGUUUAGCACGGAGAAUAUUGGACUCUGUUUUUUCAGCUUAAGACCACUAAACUCACUCAUGAGGUUCUCGUCACCUUCAUGGCAGAGGUGGCUGCUAUCAUAAACUGUAGACCCCUCGUCCCGGUUUCAUCAGACCCAAGUGACCCCUUUAUCUUGACUCCAGCUGUUCUCCUGACUCAAAAGGUAGCACCCCUUCAGGCUCCAGCUGAAAAAUUCACAGCAUCAGACCUCUACAAACAUCAGUGACGCCAGGUUCAGCACCUGUCGAACAUCUUCUGGGACAAAUGGAGGAAAGAGUUUCUCCCUACCCUACAGCCACGCCGCAAAUGGCAGUCUAGCCAGCCUAACGUGAGCUUAGGAAGUGUUGUGGUACUCAAAGACAGUCGAGUGCCAAGAAAUGAGUGGCCUCUUGGUCUCAUAACUAAGGUGUUCCCAAGUAAAGAUGGUAAAAUACGUACCGUGGAAAUUAAGGUAGUUAAAUCAGAUGGUACAAAGGUGUUGACCAGACCUAUCUCAGAGAUCGUACCCUUGGUGCCUUCUUAACGUGUUGUUUUCUUCAACGUUUAAUCGUGGCGUUAUUCACGCCAGGCGGGGAGUGUUCUGUAUCACUAAAAUAUUAUUCCCAGUACGUUGUUAGUUAUUAUGUGUUUUAGCGCCCUCUGUGGUCGUUUCAAGUAAUGCACCGUAGAAAUGGUUUGUUUUGAAACAACUUUAUUGAACAGGAAGUCAGCUCAAGGAAAGCAAGCGAGCGAAAGAAAGGGAGACAUAUCGGCACACGGCUUAUGGUGUCCUGUCGGAAAAUUUACUGUCUACAUCUUUGGUUUACGGUUGUAUCGCCGUUUUACCCUUUUGAAUGUCAGUAAACCUGUUGACAACGCCCAUCGGUCUUCAGAGUGGUGAUAUGAGAAAGGUGUUCACGCCCUUGCAUCAGACAUGCAACCGUAACGGCACACUUAGCAUGAUUGAGAUGCAGAGGUUCAGUACUUUACACACAGUUUUAACAGUUAAAACACCCUUAAGAGCUCAGCUGAAGCUUGUAUAUGAACAACUGUAAAUGCAUGUAGUGAAAACCUUAGGCAUUACUCUCUAACUGAAUGAAUUUGACACAAAAUACUCAGAAAAAAGGCACUGUUAAGCCUUGCUUAGAUUUUUUUUUGAAAUAGAUAUUUGAUCUGUGAUUCUUUGGAAUUAGCCCAACUUUAAAUUACUGCUUGAAGAAUCUAGUACAAGUAACUUCUUAGGCCAAGCAUGUACUUCUUUUACAACUUUGAAUUUGCAGUUAAAUCUUUUCGAAGCACUUGUAAUACAUUAUGAGCCUUCUACUGAAGUGUUUCAGCUUUGUGUAAAAUGCAUGGUAGGACACCUAACCACAUUUAGAUCUUAUCAUUUAUUCCUUUCAUGGUGCCUAAAAUUUAUAGAGGAUUCAAAACCGCUCUUAGGGUUUCACUGGGGCUCUGAGCAGAUUCGCAUUCUCAUUCUAAAUAUGUUCACAUGAGACACGAUGGCUUUGGAAAUAUAUACAGCUUCUCUUGUAAUUGAAAAACUAUAGCUCAGUCAGUUACCAUAACAACUGGAAAUCUGCCAUAGUAACAGUAGCAUAUUCUUCUGCAUCAUAUAUGCAACAAAUUACUUAGAUGUCAAAAGUGUGACACUUGAAUUGUUAUUUGCUUUACAUUUAUACAGAUAAGAUGAUGACGAUCAUUUUAUGUGCAUCUCAGUUUCAAUACAACAAAUCCAGAAACAUGUUUUCAGCAAAACUUUAUUUUUCAGUGCAUGAACAGAAUACCAUAUCAAGGUCAUUGCCUAUCCUUUUCAAUCCAUUUUUAAAUAUUUUUCUCUUUUUUUACAUAAAAAAAUAAUGGAGCGAUUUAAUAUACCUCUAUUUUUUUCUCCCCAAAAGAGCACUCGGCAAGUAUUUAUAAAGGUGCUGUACAAUGUACAAACAUUUACAUCUACUGUUCCUACAGAAUGUAGAAGAUACCACAAGGAUUGUGUUUUUCUUUUUUCUUUUUUUUUCUAAUGAAGCAAUGCAAGGCCACAGUAUGAUGCAGAGAUGUCAAACAAAAUUGUUCAAAUGAAAGCAUAAAGCUGUACUACAGUGCAGGGGACAUACAAUAAAAGAGGAUAUUAUCUGA